CGGGUGAGUAAUGUAUCGGAACGUGCCCAGUCGUGGGGGAUAACGCAGCGAAAGCUGUGCUAAUACCGCAUACGAUCUAUGGAUGAAAGCGGGGGAUCGCAAGACCUCGCGCGAUUGGAGCGGCCGAUAUCAGAUUAGGUAGUUGGUGGGGUAAAGGCCCACCAAGCCGACGAUCUGUAGCUGGUCUGAGAGGACGACCAGCCACACUGGAACUGAGACACGGUCCAGACUCCUACGGGAGGCAGCAGUGGGGAAUUUUGGACAAUGGGCGCAAGCCUGAUCCAGCAAUGCCGCGUGCAGGAUGAAGGCCUUCGGGUUGUAAACUGCUUUUGUACGGAGCGAAAAGGCUCUCUCUAAUAAAGGGGGCUCAUGACGGUACCGUAAGAAUAAGCACCGGCUAACUACGUGCCAGCAGCCGCGGUAAUACGUAGGGUGCGAGCGUUAAUCGGAAUUACUGGGCGUAAAGCGUGCGCAGGCGGUUAUGUAAGACAGAUGUGAAAUCCCCGGGCUCAACCUGGGACCUGCAUUUGUGACUGCAUAGCUAGAGUACGGCAGAGGGGGAUGGAAUUCCGCGUGUAGCAGUGAAAUGCGUAGAUAUGCGGAGGAACA
This 609-nucleotide ribosomal RNA is filed under the name uncultured beta proteobacterium. RNAcentral's name for it is "bacterial SSU rRNA". It matches the Rfam family "Bacterial small subunit ribosomal RNA", at positions 103 to 708 of the family's 1533-position model. The record is from RNAcentral. Lineage: Bacteria; Pseudomonadati; Pseudomonadota; Betaproteobacteria.